UACGUAGGGUGCGAGCGUUAAUCGGAAUUACUGGGCGUAAAGUGUGCGCAGGUGGCCGCGCAAGUCGAGUGUGAAAUCCCCGAGCUUAACUUGGGAAUUGCGCUCGAAACUACGUGGCUCGAGUGUGGCAGAGGAAGGUGGAAUUCCACGUGUAGCGGUGAAAUGCGUAGAGAUGUGGAGGAAUACCGGUGGCGAAGGCGGCAUCCUGGACCGGCAUUGACGCUGAGGCGCGAAAGCCAGGGGAGCAAACGGG
Molecule: ribosomal RNA, 253 nt
Filed under: uncultured bacterium
Lineage: Bacteria
Description: partial 16S ribosomal RNA
Rfam family: Bacterial small subunit ribosomal RNA
Source: RNAcentral